GACGAACGCUGGCGGCGUGCCUAAUACAUGCAAGUUGAGCGCUGAAGGUUGGUACUUGUACCAACUGGAUGAGCAGCGAACGGGUGAGUAACGCGUGGGGAAUCUGCCUUUGAGCGGGGGACAACAUUUGGAAACGAAUGCUAAUACCGCAUAAAAACUUUAAACACAAGUUUUAAGUUUGAAAGAUGCAAUUGCAUCACUCAAAGAUGAUCCCGCGUUGUAUUAGCUAGUUGGUGAGGUAAAGGCUCACCAAGGCGAUGAUACAUAGCCGAACUGAGAGGGUGAGUGGCCAGAUUGGGACUGAGACACGGCACAAACUCCCACGGGAGGCAGCAGUAGGGAAUCGUCGGCAAUGGACGAAAGUCUGAGCGAGAAACGCCGAGUGAGUGAAGAAGGUUGUCGGAUCGGAAAACUCUGUUGGUAGAGAAGAACGUUGGUGAGAGUGGAAAGCUCAUCAAGUGACGGUAACUACCCAGAAAGGGACGGCUAACUACGUG
This 497-nucleotide ribosomal RNA is filed under the name uncultured bacterium. RNAcentral describes it as "partial 16S ribosomal RNA". It matches the Rfam family "Bacterial small subunit ribosomal RNA", at positions 28 to 507 of the family's 1533-position model. The record is from RNAcentral.